UGGGGAAUAUUGGACAAUGGGGGCAACCCUGAUCCAGCGAUGCCGCGUGAAUGAAGAAGGUUUUCGGAUUGUAAAGUUCUUUUCUUAGGGAAGAUGAUGACGGUACCUAAGGAAUAAGCACCGGCAAACUCUGUGCCAGCAGCCGCGGUAAUACAGAGGGUGCAAGCGUUGUUCGGAAUUACUGGGCGUAAAGGGCGCGUAGGCGGUUGAAUAAGUCUAACGUUAAAGACCUGGGCUUAACCUGGGGAAUGCGAGAGAAACUGAUUGACUAGAAUUUAGGAGAGGAGAGUGGAAUUUCCGGUGUAGAGGUGGAAUUCGUAGAUAUCGGAAGGAACAUCAGAGGCGAAGGCGGCUCUCUGGCCUGAUAUUGACGCUGAGGCGCGAGAGCGUGGGGAGCAAACAGG
RNAcentral lists this ribosomal RNA (404 nucleotides) under uncultured bacterium. Its description in RNAcentral is "bacterial SSU rRNA". It matches the Rfam family "Bacterial small subunit ribosomal RNA", at positions 355 to 776 of the family's 1533-position model. The record is from RNAcentral.